AACGUAGGUCACAAGCGUUGUCCGGAAUUACUGGGUGUAAAGGGAGCGCAGGCGGGAAGACAAGUUGGAAGUGAAAUCCAUGGGCUCAACCCAUGAACUGCUUUCAAAACUGUUUUUCUUGAGUAGUGCAGAGGUAGGCGGAAUUCCCGGUGUAGCGGUGGAAUGCGUAGAUAUCGGGAGGAACACCAGUGGCGAAGGCGGCCUACUGGGCACCAACUGACGCUGAGGCUCGAAAGUGUGGGUAGCAAACAGGAUUAGAUACCCUGGUCGGCUGACUGACU
This 281-nucleotide ribosomal RNA is filed under the name Faecalibacterium prausnitzii. RNAcentral's name for it is "partial 16S ribosomal RNA". It matches the Rfam family "Bacterial small subunit ribosomal RNA", at positions 524 to 805 of the family's 1533-position model. Lineage: Bacteria; Bacillati; Bacillota; Clostridia; Eubacteriales; Oscillospiraceae. The record is from RNAcentral.